AGAGCCUGUGCGUGCUUCGAAGCCUCCUCUCCGACCAUUACUGCGCGGGUGUAUCGCCUUUCACCAUCUUGGGCAUCCAGGAACGCCCACAAGCAGUCUGCAGACAGCUGUGACGAUCCUUGGAGAUUGGUGCGGCCUCGAACUAUCAACAAGACACAGCAGGGAAUUCGCUGCAGGCAGCUCACAUAGGCACUUUUGAUGGUUUGAGCUCUGUAGCAAUCCACAUAGAGGGGCUGAGGGCAGAAAGGCACACAGCUGGUACACGCUCCCCCAAGUAGAACAAGUUGCAUCAGCUUGCAGCCAGGCCAAACGGGGGACAAGUAGCUCGGCGGCGCUAUAGGCUUGCGACCAUGACUUCGUCUCGCGACCAGCCUUCUGUAAGCAACAGCCAUCCGGAUGAAGAAGCUGGUCCCUCAAGGCAGCCCGAUUGCCGGUGCGCGGCCCAGACUCCUAGUCAACAUUCCAACGCUCGUGUAGCUGUAGAUGGUGAAGCUUUAUGGCUCAGAUCUCCAAAAGUUGAAUCGAUCUUGCUUUAUCCUUGUGCAUGAGUAUUAAUAUAGGUGUAUGUCGUUUCCAAAUCUUGCGUCUUGUAGCGUUUAGGUGUCUUCUCACGAUGUCACGCUUUGAUGAUACCCCAAUUUUACUCAUAGAAUGCCACACGGGACACCAAAUCAAUUCGCCGGCCGCCGACAUGACUUCAUGUUCGUGGAAGAGUUUACUAGGAUUGAGAGAAGUAGCGGGCUUACUUCUCGUGGCGGCAUGCGGUCGAGUGUUAUCUGAUGAACUCGCAGUCAGGACACGUUUGCUGGAACCAUCUCACGGCCCUGCUUUUUUGUGGUUGGAUUGCGACCUGAAGGUUGCCGAGUGCAUUUGCAGGCAUGGCCAAGCAGACAACAACAGUAUCUUGAGAUCUACCAGGAGGAGGGGUGCCUGGCUGCUCUGUGGUAUUCUACUAUCGUUGCAACCGCAGAUUUCACUGGCUGUCACCCCCUUGACAGAUUGGAGAGCCGGCAUUGCCACGAAUUAUGGUGGGCCAUAUGAUGGCAAGAAUCCAUAUGACCCGAGUUGGGG
This 1071-nucleotide long non-coding RNA is filed under the name Coccomyxa subellipsoidea. RNAcentral describes it as "long non-coding RNA (CSUB_LNC000233)". The record is from RNAcentral. Lineage: Eukaryota; Viridiplantae; Chlorophyta; Trebouxiophyceae; Coccomyxaceae.